Long non-coding RNA from Sphaeramia orbicularis (orbiculate cardinalfish), 158 nucleotides. RefSeq lists it as uncharacterized. The record is from RefSeq and is a predicted model, not a curated record. The transcript is spliced from 3 exons. Lineage: Eukaryota; Metazoa; Chordata; Actinopteri; Kurtiformes; Apogonidae.
UGGUGUAAAAGGCAAUUUGUCAUCUUUUCAUGGUCAUCAGAUAUGACCCAACUGGAUGUUCAGAAACUCCAAAGUCAACGUGGAAACACCAUCAUCUUCUACAAUAAUGAUUCACCAGUAAAACCCAUGGAGUUGGAUCAAUGACAGUGGAUGGAAAU